GAUGAACGCUGGCGGCGUGCCUAAUACAUGCAAGUCGAGCGAACAGAUAAGGAGCUUGCUCCUUUGACGUUAGCGGCGGACGGGUGAGUAACACGUGGGUAACCUACCUAUAAGACUGGGAUAACUUCGGGAAACCGGAGCUAAUACCGGAUAAUAUUUCGAACCGCAUGGUUCGAUAGUGAAAGAUGGUUUUGCUAUCACUUAUAGAUGGACCCGCGCCGUAUUAGCUAGUUGGUAAGGUAACGGCUUACCAAGGCGACGAUACGUAGCCGACCUGAGAGGGUGAUCGGCCACACUGGAACUGAGACACGGUCCAGACCCCUACGGGAGGCAGCAGUAGGGAAACUUCCGCAAUGGGCGAAAGCCUGACCGGGCAACGCCGCGUGAGUGAUGGAGGUCUUCGGGUCGUAAAACUCUGUUAUUAGGGAAGAACAUACGUGUAAGUAACUGUGCACGUCUUGACGGUACCUAAUCAGAAAGCCACGGCUAACUACGUG
RNAcentral lists this ribosomal RNA (497 nucleotides) under uncultured bacterium. RNAcentral describes it as "partial 16S ribosomal RNA". It matches the Rfam family "Bacterial small subunit ribosomal RNA", at positions 28 to 507 of the family's 1533-position model. The record is from RNAcentral.